Molecule: ribosomal RNA, 650 nt
Filed under: Fictibacillus rigui
Lineage: Bacteria; Bacillati; Bacillota; Bacilli; Caryophanales; Fictibacillaceae
Description: bacterial SSU rRNA
Rfam family: Bacterial small subunit ribosomal RNA
Source: RNAcentral
CGGUGAAAUGCGUAGAGAUGUGGAGGAACACCAGUGGCGAAGGCGGCUUUUUGGCCUGUAACUGACGCUGAGGCGCGAAAGCGUGGGGAGCAAACAGGAUUAGAUACCCUGGUAGUCCACGCCGUAAACGAUGAGUGCUAGGUGUUGGGGGGUUCCACCCUCAGUGCUGACGUUAACACAUUAAGCACUCCGCCUGGGGAGUACGGCCGCAAGGCUGAAACUCAAAGGAAUUGACGGGGGCCCGCACAAGCAGUGGAGCAUGUGGUUUAAUUCGAAGCAACGCGAAGAACCUUACCAGGUCUUGACAUCCUCUGACCACUCUAGAGAUAGAGCUUUCCCCUUCGGGGGACAGAGUGACAGGUGGUGCAUGGUUGUCGUCAGCUCGUGUCGUGAGAUGUUGGGUUAAGUCCCGCAACGAGCGCAACCCUUGACCUUAGUUGCCAGCAUUCAGUUGGGCACUCUAAGGUGACUGCCGGUGACAAACCGGAGGAAGGUGGGGAUGACGUCAAAUCAUCAUGCCCCUUAUGACCUGGGCUACACACGUGCUACAAUGGGUGGUACAAAGGGUUGCAAAGCCGCGAGGCCGAGCCAAUCCCAAAAAGCCACUCUCAGUUCGGAUUGUAGGCUGCAACUCGCCUACAUGAAGCCGG